RNAcentral lists this ribosomal RNA (292 nucleotides) under uncultured bacterium. RNAcentral's name for it is "partial 16S ribosomal RNA". It matches the Rfam family "Bacterial small subunit ribosomal RNA", at positions 505 to 796 of the family's 1533-position model. The record is from RNAcentral.
GUGUAAGCAGCCGCGGUAAUACAGAGGGUGCAAGCGUUGUUCGGAAUUAUUGGGCGUAAAGCGCGUGUAGGCGGCGGAGCAUGUCGGGUGUGAAAGCCCUCGGCUUAACCGAGGAAGUGCGCCCGAAACUGCUUUGCUGGAGUGCUGGAGAGGGUAGCGGAAUUCCCGGUGUAGAGGUGAAAUUCGUAGAUAUCGGGAGGAACACCAGUGGCGAAGGCGGCUACCUGGACAGACACUGACGCUGAGACGCGAAAGCGUGGGGAGCAAACAGGAUUAGAAACCCGGGUAGUCC